GGACGAACGCUGGCGGCGUGCCUAACACAUGCAAGUCGAGCGGGGACAUGCGACGGAUAUGAAGUUUCGGAUGGAAUUGAAGGUGUAUGUUCUAGCGGCGGACGGGUGAGUAACGCGUGAACAAUCUGUCCUUCACAGGGGGAUAACACAGCGAAAGUUGUACUAAUACCGCAUGAGACCACGGUACUGCAUGGUACAGGGGUCAAAGGAGCAAUCCGGUGAAGGGUGAGUUCGCGUCCGAUUAGAUAGUUGGUGAGGUAACGGCCCACCAAGUCGACGAUCGGUAGCCGACCUGAGAGGGUGAUCGGCCACAUUGGGACUGAGACACGGCCCAAACUCCUACGGGAGGCAGCAGUGGGGAAUAUUGGGCAAUGGGGGGAAACCCUGACCCAGCAACGCCGCGUGAGGGAAGAAGGUUUUCGGAUCGUAAACCUCUGUCCUAGGUGAAGAGGAAGAGGCGGUAGCCUAGGAGGAAGCCCCGGCUAACUACGUGCCAGCCGCCGC
This 504-nucleotide ribosomal RNA is filed under the name uncultured bacterium. RNAcentral describes it as "bacterial SSU rRNA". It matches the Rfam family "Bacterial small subunit ribosomal RNA", at positions 27 to 518 of the family's 1533-position model. The record is from RNAcentral.